GCGGAUGUAGUUUAUCGGUAGAACUUCGGCUUCCCAAGCCGAUAAGGUGGGUUCGACUCCCAUCAUCCGCUCCA
This 74-nucleotide transfer RNA is filed under the name Bacillota bacterium. Its description in RNAcentral is "tRNA-Gly". It matches the Rfam family "tRNA". Rfam says of the family: Transfer RNA (tRNA) molecules are approximately 80 nucleotides in length. Their secondary structure includes four short double-helical elements and three loops (D, anti-codon, and T loops). Lineage: Bacteria; Bacillati; Bacillota. RNAcentral also lists the same sequence under 1 other name. The record is from RNAcentral.